AGAUUUGAGGGUAAACUGGCUGUUGUAUCUAUCACCCCAUAGAUCUCUAAAGUUGAUUUCUUGGUAUAGAGGGGUAGGUGGGUGUCCUAUUCCUCAUAUACCUCCAAGUGUGUUUCUCCCAACGCUGCAUGCUAUGUCAAAAAGACAAACAUCUCUGGCAGAGGAGGAAGAUACUUCAGUCAAGGGUACACGAGUAAUUCUGCUCCCCUGCUAUAAUCUCCAAGCAAGCUCUCAGGGUCAUCGUUUUCUAAAAACAACAAAUUGUACAAUCUGCAAUCAUAAAUUAGCUCUUUUUAUGUGGAAAAAAUAUAA
RNAcentral lists this small nuclear RNA (312 nucleotides) under Castor canadensis (American beaver). RNAcentral's name for it is "7SK RNA (ENSCCNG00000004658.1)". It matches the Rfam family "7SK RNA". Rfam says of the family: 7SK was discovered as an abundant small nuclear RNA in the mid-70s but a possible function has only recently been suggested. Two independent studies have found that 7SK RNA binds the CDK9/cyclin T complex (known as elongation factor P-TEFb). Lineage: Eukaryota; Metazoa; Chordata; Mammalia; Rodentia; Castoridae. The record is from Rfam by way of RNAcentral.